Molecule: long non-coding RNA, 709 nt
Organism: Drosophila sechellia
Lineage: Eukaryota; Metazoa; Arthropoda; Insecta; Diptera; Drosophilidae
Exons: 3
Source: RefSeq, a predicted model, not a curated record
CAGUUUUUAAUAUUUUUCAUAUAUUAAACAAAUAUUAUUAUUCGUCAAAGUAAGAAAGUGCCAAGACAAAUAAUUUUCUGAAAAAAAUGGGAACAUUUUUGAAAAGUGUUGGCAUGGCAGUUUUGGACAAACUGCUCUAGAAUAUGGAGCAUAAGUCUCAACGCCCUGACUUUUUAUAGUUCCUCAGAUCUAGAAAUUUAUACGGACGGAAAUGGACAGAUCGCGGUUUUUAUUAUUUUACGAAAAUUGAAGCAGUAGUCAACCUGCGCUGCAUACAGGCUUAGUCCCAACUAGCACUUAAGGUUCGCGAUGUUCCCAAGUUCAUACAAUCGGGCAGACGGACAAAAGACCAUGGGAAAGCACGACUCGUUUUGUAAUCAUGGACUACAGAGAACUCAUAUACACCCACUUACAAAAAAUCCAAUUUAAUUUUUCGCUGCUCAAGUCACAAAACUAUUGACAAUGAAGACAAACCCGGAUCAAAUAAAACCACAAGUCUUCCAUUAUCCUAGAAAAACUAUGAAAUUUCGCGUUCGCAUUCACACUAGCUGAGUAACGGGUAUCUGAUAGUUGGGCAACUCGACUGUAGCAUUCUCUCUUGUUUUAUCUGAGGUCCACCCAAAUAAUACGCCUCUAAGAGAAGGAAUUGAACAACAUUGUAAAUGAACCAACACCACCAAAAACGAAACAGGACGUAGAAGAUUAAUUG